This 754-nucleotide long non-coding RNA is filed under the name Mastacembelus armatus (zig-zag eel). Its description in RNAcentral is "lncRNA (ENSMAMG00000027745.1)". The record is from RNAcentral. Lineage: Eukaryota; Metazoa; Chordata; Actinopteri; Synbranchiformes; Mastacembelidae.
UCAUUUUAGGCUCUCUCUCACUACCUGUCUCCACAAAUUCUCUCUCUCUGCUUUUUGUUUUAGAUAAACUGGAUGAAAUCUUGGCUGCCGCCCAACACACUAUUACAUCAGACAACCAGGGCCAGAGAGGUCAUGGGGGCAAGAGGGACCGGAGCAAGAGCAUUGUUCCAAAUGUCUCCACUGAGCAACCCUAUGAGCAGCAGUCAUCAGUGAGUAUGGUGCAGCCUGGACCAGGUUAUGGCUACAACCAAGCUCAUUUUCAGCCAGGCCACGGUCAUCAGCAUGCAGUCAUGAUGCGUCAAAAGUCUAUUGGUGUAACAGAGGAGGAGAGGCAGUACCUCCACCCACCUGCCAUGAAGCUGGCUCGCAGCCUGUCAGUGCCAGGACCGGAAGAAAUUCCUCCACCCCCUAACACAUCCGCCCCAGAGCCACCUUUAUCUGCAGGCCCUCAUCCUGUGAGAGGGCCAGCUAUGCCCAUACCCCCCGUUUCUCAAGCCCACUUCCAGCUCCAUACCCAGCCAGGGCAUUCCACUCAAGCAGGCUGGGAGAGGGGAAGCCCUGGUGGGAUGAACCAGCAGGUCAUGGUUCCCACGCUCCGGAGACAAUCAGAAGGACUGUGUGUCAGAGAGCCAGAGGCACCCAGGAGAGGUGGUGGCAAGAUGGGGGGCUUAAGGAGAGGCUACAGCAGCGCUACACCACCAACAAGUGCUAAGCCUAAAGCCCAACAAGCACCACAACAUCAGACCCAGAUGGC